AUUGAACGCUGGCGGCAGGCUUAACACAUGCAAGUCGAACGAUGAAACUCUAGCUUGCUAGAGAAGAUUAGUGGCGGACGGGUGAGUAACAUUUAGGAAUCUGCCUAGUAGUGGGGGAUAGCUCGGGGAAACUCGAAUUAAUACCGCAUACGACCUACGGGUGAAAGGGGGCGCAAGCUCUUGCUAUUAGAUGAGCCUAAAUCAGAUUAGCUAGUUGGUGGGGUAAAGGCCUACCAAGGCGACGAUCUGUAGCUGGUCUGAGAGGAUGAUCAGUCACACCGGAACUGAGACACGGUCCGGACUCCUACGGGAGGCAGCAGUGGGGAAUAUUGGACAAUGGGGGCAACCCUGAUCCAGCCAUGCCGCGUGUGUGAAGAAGGCCUUUUGGUUGUAAAGCACUUUAAGCAGGGAGGAGAGGCUAAUGGUUAAUACCCAUUAGAUUAGACGUUACCUGCAGAAUAAGCACCGGCUAACUCUGUGCCAGCAGCCGCGGUAAUACAGAGGGUGCGAGCGUUAAUCGGAAUUACUGGGCGUAAAGCGAGUGUAGGUGGCUCAUUAAGUCACAUGUGAAAUCCCCGGGCUUAACCUGGGAACUGCAUGUGAUACUGGUGGUGCUAGAAUAUGUGAGAGGGAAGUAGAAUUCCAGGUGUAGCGGUGAAAUGCGUAGAGAUCUGGAGGAAUACCGAUGGCGAAGGCAGCUUCCUGGCAUAAUAUUGACACUGAGAUUCGAAAGCGUGGGUAGCAAACAGGAUUAGAUACCCUGGUAGUCCACGCCGUAAACGAUGUCUACUAGCCGUUGGGGUCCUUGAGACUUUAGUGGCGCAGUUAACGCGAUAAGUAGACCGCCUGGGGAGUACGGCCGCAAGGUUAAAACUCAAAUGAAUUGACGGGGGCCCGCACAAGCGGUGGAGCAUGUGGUUUAAUUCGAUGCAACGCGAAGAACCUUACCUGGUCUUGACAUAGUGAGAAUCCUGCAGAGAUGCGGGAGUGCCUUCGGGAACUCACAUACAGGUGCUGCAUGGCUGUCGUCAGCUCGUGUCGUGAGAUGUUGGGUUAAGUCCCGCAACGAGCGCAACCCUUUUCCUUAUUUGCCAGCGGGUUAAGCCGGGAACUUUAAGGAUACUGCCAGUGACAAACUGGAGGAAGGCGGGGACGACGUCAAGUCAUCAUGGCCCUUACGACCAGGGCUACACACGUGCUACAAUGGUAGGUACAGAGGGUUGCUACACAGCGAUGUGAUGCUAAUCUCAAAAAGCCUAUCGUAGUCCGGAUUGGAGUCUGCAACUCGACUCCAUGAAGUCGGAAUCGCUAGUAAUCGCAGAUCGGAAUGCUGCGGUGAAUACGUUCCCGGGCCU
This 1355-nucleotide ribosomal RNA is filed under the name uncultured bacterium. Its description in RNAcentral is "bacterial SSU rRNA". It matches the Rfam family "Bacterial small subunit ribosomal RNA", at positions 28 to 1381 of the family's 1533-position model. The record is from RNAcentral.